RNAcentral lists this long non-coding RNA (21409 nucleotides) under Nicotiana tabacum (common tobacco). RNAcentral describes it as "long non-coding RNA (NTAB_LNC016188)". Lineage: Eukaryota; Viridiplantae; Streptophyta; Magnoliopsida; Solanales; Solanaceae. The record is from RNAcentral.
CCUUGUUACUUCAGUUAAUUCAAAGAGAAACCAAGCUGGCUAAACAUUUGAGUAAAAUAAAACGCUACUGUAUUUUGAUCAAAACAAGACAUUUACCGCAAAAGAUAAAUCAAAAUAAGUCAAAUAUCCCUUAUCAGAUCAUGACUUGAAUCAUAUUUCCAUUAACAAUUUACAGAUUUUUUAAAUAUUGUGACCUCAAACUUUAGCUCAACUACUGGAUUUUCUUGUUAAUCACGACAUAACUGAAAAACAAUGAAUCAUAUGGAAAUUAUGCAUAAUCAGUAGGUUAAAUCUGAAUAUAUUUAAGGGAAAACAUCACAGAUUGAAUAGGCAUUUUGAACAUUAAAAUUUCUCAGUAAAUGACCUUUAUUAGUCUAAAUUUAGUCAUGGAACCAACAAGCAGUUACAUAUGGGCUUGCAACGUACUUAAAUGCAGGAAAACAACAAUGAAAAACCAAAUCCCGAUUUGAGAAUUCAGUGGUGAAGCUUAGCUAAUUUCGGAAUAGCGGCAGGGAAAAUCAGCGAGCAACAAUACUUCUAUCAAACCCAAACAUCAAUAUCAAAACCAUGAGAAAUUGAGGUCAGCUACUCUAAAUCCAACUUCCUUCUCUUUUGUUUUUCUUGUCUGAAACUCUUUUUCUUUGGGAUUUUAAAUCUAAAAUUUAAUCGAAAAAAGCUGGUCGCAUUUUUUUAGGAAGGAGGAGAGGGAUCCAAUAGAGCUUCUGUUCGGAGAAGACGCAUGAACAGGUGUGGCUAGGAUUAGAUUUUUUGUAGGGAGGAUAUUUGUGAGAGUAAGUGUAAAUGGAAAAGAAGGGGGAAUGGAGAAGAAGAAGGGGGUACGCCGUUUUUGUCCUAGGGUUCUAAAGGGGAAAAUCUGAUGUUAAGAGGAAAUUAGGGAUCCCCUCUUUAAUGAGGUUAGGGGUUGUUUUAAUGAUAGGGAAUGGGUAUUUGGGUAGUGGGCUAAAACGGUAUAGGCUUGGGUAAUGUUUAAAGCAAAUUAGAUUUUGGGCUUCAAAUUAAGUUGUGGCCCAAACGAAAUUAAAAGACCAAAUUUACUUCUUUUUUUUGUUUUUUUUUAUUUUAAAUUCUAACAAAUUAAAUCCUAAUUUAAGACCCAACUUAAAUAUAAUUAGAAAAAUUAAUUCUAUUUAUCUAUUAAAAAAUGUAUGUAAAAUUUUAAAAAUAUUUUGUUUGAUUUUUAUGUAUUAAUUCUAACAAAUUAAAGAGUAAUUAAUUCCUAAAGUGCAAAUUAAACCUAAUAUGGCAUGAAAUUAAAUGUGACAAUUUUAUUGUUUUUCGAUGAUUUUAAGAUAUUAAAAAUAUAUAAAAUGGAACUAAAUAAAGAAAAACCCCUAAAAUCCAUUAAUAUUGUUUUUGAUCUUUUUUUUAAGAGUUAUUUCCAUGCGGGGCAAAAAUUUGGUGCUCACAGAUUCCCCUCUUUGCUUGGAAACAUGAAGAGUUUUCGAGCGAAGAUAAAGUGAGCAAUUACGAGCAAUUUUUGCCCCUUAGACACUCCAAUGGAUGCUCUUUUUUGAAAAGGUUUGAUCGAACCUUGCUUCGGAUGUUGCCUACAUAUCCUUGGCUAUAAAAGAAUCAGGUCAGUGUAGUUCUAGAAGUUUUGGUUCUGGAAGUUCAGUGAGCUCCUUAUUAACCAAACUCAAAUUGCAAAAGACUAACUAACUAAAGCUAUCACCUACGAGUUACAAGAUUCCUAUCUAUAAAUCUUCUGAAGCCUGAUCUUGAGUCUUGGCUAGUUCUUUAUGCAAAGUCUGAUCUGAAUCUUGAUGAUUCUUAGCUACAAGUGUUGGUUUAUUCUUUUUCAGAUUUUCGGAUCAAGGCGGGACAUGCAAAGCUUGUGACUUCAAUCAUGCUGGUUUAUUCUUUUUCAGAUUUUCACUUCUUUUUUUUAUUCUUUUUCUUUUAUUCUGGAUUGAGACUUCUUCUUUUGGUCAUCUCAAACCCUGUGUCUCGAGGUAUAAACUACUCAGACACCAAAACAAACAAACGAACGGAAUUUUUCUGCCCCAAUUUUUACUAGGAAAAUUUCGUGAGUUAUUUGUAACCAAAACUCUAUACUACUUCAUUAUUGAAAGCAAUAAAAAUCAGGAUUGUGUAUCCUUGGGAAAAAGAAAUUACGGAGUGGAGACCCUAUAUCUAAAAUGAAAUCAACUAGGGAUUGGAGACCCUAUUGUUAAAAAAUCAUCAACUAGGGAAUGGUGACCCUAGGUUGGCACCAGGUUAUGCUGGCAUCAACUAGGGAGUAAAGACCAUGUGUUAGCAUCAACUAGGAGUGGCGACUCUAUGUUGGCAUCAACUAGGGAGUGGAGACUCUAUAUUGGCAUCAACUAGGGAGUGAUGACCCUAUGUUGACAUCAGGUUAUGCUAGCACCAACUAGGGAGUGGAGACCCUAUGUUGGCAAAUCAUCGGGUUAUACUGGCAUCAACUAGGGAGUGGGACCCUAUGUUGGAAAAUCAUUAGGUUAUGCUGGCAUCAACUAGGGAGUGAGACCCCUAUGUUGGAAAAGUCAUCAGGUUAUGAUAGCAUCAACUAAGAAGUGGGACCCUAUGUUGGAAAAAUCAUCAGGUUAUGAUAUCAUCAACUAGGGAGUGGCACCCUAUGUUGGAAAAGUCAUCAGGUUAUGCUGGUAUCAACUAGGGAGUGAGACUUUAUGUUGGAAAAGUCAUCAGGUUAUGUUGGCAUCAACUAGGGAGUGGAGACCCUAUAUUGGCAUCAGGUUAUGCUGGCAUCAACUAGGGAGUGGAGACUCUAUGUUGGCAUCAACUAAGGAGUGGUGACCCUAUGUUGGCAUCAGGUUAUGCUGGCAUCAAGUUAUGCUGACAUCAACUAGGGAGUGGAGACCCUAUGUUGGCAUCAACCAGGGAGUAGUGACCCUAUGUUGGCAUCAGGUUAUAUUAGCAUCAACUAGGGAGUGGAGACCCUAUGUUGGCAUCAACCAAGGAGUGGUGACCCUAUGUUGGCAUCAGGUUAUGUUGGCAUCAACUAGGGAUUGGAGACCCUAUAUUACCAUGAUUUGAAUUUUUCUUCUUUUCUUUCUUUUCAUUUCAUUUUUUUCAUCAUUUUUUAUUUAAGAGAGUGAGUAAAAUGCGGAAAAGAAUUUGGAGGAGACUCCCCUUUUGGAUUGAUUAUUGCUGGAGAUCUAUUUUAGUCUUUGCGCGAUUUCUUUUUGUUGCACAUGCUUCUUGCAAGGUUGCUUUGAAUUACACUUGUUUCCUAUUUCUCAAACAAAGAACAAUUUGUCAGUUUGAAACAAUGGUUGGUUUUGUGACCUUGAGCGUUUCAGUGACUUGAUCUAAGCUCGGCUUCUUUGAUGAAGAUCUCAACUACAACUGCUUGUUCCCUGAGGACCGAUUUCAUUUCUGGCCCUAAAGAACCUCUGGCUUUUCCAUACUUUGUUAUGACAGUUGAUCGCAUGGGACUUAACCUUUUCGACUUUAUUUUGCCUUUGUAGGCCUUUCACUUCUGACUUGUUUGUUUGUUUCUUCAAUUUUUAACUUCCGAGCAUUGGAGAACAUUUUGAUCCUCAAAAUUUGCUGCAACGACUAGUCGCGUGGGACUUAACCUUUUCCAAUUUUAUUUUGCCUUCAUAGGCCUUUCAUUUCCGGCUUCUAUCUUCCAACUUUAAUUUCAGAGUAUUUGGGGUAUCUUGGCUUUUCAAUCCUUGCCGAGACGGUUAGCCACGUGAGAUUCAACUUUUUUAGCUUUAUUUGCCUUCAUAGGCGCUUAAAUUUGAUUUUCUCCUUCCAAGAGUUUUCCGUUUCAAAACAUCAUCCACCAUGGCCGGUCAAAGUCGACUUGAUGCCCUUGCCGAGGCUGGGUGCCUUCUUGUGUAUUAGCUUGUAUCAAAGGAGGGAUUUGUAAAUUAGUCUUACCAUCUUUUCUUUGUCUUAAUCUCGGCACUGAGUUAGACCGAAAGGGAUUCAAAGAAAACAAACAACGAAAUGGAGAAUAAGUUUAAACAAGGUGUGUCCCUUUCACGGAAAGGGAAGAAUGACUUAUCUGGAGUACAUGCGGACUUCAAUGAAUAUGACAUGUCUUUUAGACUGGAUUCCUGACCCGUGUAAAUCGUCUGACUCUCAGAAAUUCAUCACAGUUUUUGCUUCCAAAUCGAGAAACCUUGCACAGGACUGUGCCGAUGCCAAUGGGUGUGAGGAUCUUUUUUUCAAUUGGUGGGGCCCUUUACGGGUUUGUACCAGCUGGCCUCUCUCAUUUCUCUUCUCACCAUCGCCUUAUAGUUCUCUUUGCGAGUUUUCACUAACAAGACUCUCUCAUUUCAUUUCUCUCAUUUUGGCGUAUUGGAUCCAAGUAAAUCUAUCUUCCAAUUUGAACCUCUUUGCCGAUCAAUCAGAAGGACUUGAACAUGGUUUUUGGGUAAAAAUGUUUUAGAUUGAGUUACAACUUUGAAACCUUUCGGGCGAAACCAUCGCCGAACCAUUAUAACUUCUGCCCCAGUUUCAACUUUGGGGAAAUUUGGAUUUUUAUUUGGUGUGACAGAACCCCAAAGAGAGGCUGCCUACGUAUCCUUUUGGAAUCAAGUCACACGUAGUUCAGGGAACUUUGUUUUUUUUUUCUCUCUUUUACCUUUCCUUUUUCCUCUCUAUUUUUCACUUUUCAUUUUGUUUUCUUUGUCUUUUCUUCCCUUUUUUGUAUCUUUCACUUUCUUUUUUUUCAUUUUUUUUUCAUUUUUCACUUCAAACAACACUUUCAGGUUCCAAAGAGGGUAAUCAAAGAAGAGUAACCAGCUCAAAUGGUUUACAAAAGGGUUAAUUAUGUUUGGGUAGCAAGAAUGAAAGUCUUCGUCAUCCUAACCAGAGAAUAUUAAUACUAUAUAGAGGAUCAAACAUAAUACCUUUUGCUUGCAUUUUCAUUGAAGGUUGUCACAAGGACAUUUCCUUCGAUGUUUCCCAGGUACAACGCUCUCUUUGGCAGUACUCUUGUUACCAUGUAUGGAUUUUUCUAAUCUGGAGCCAAUUUUCCUUUAGCUGUUCCAACUCUUUAUUUUAUUUCUUUAAGCUUAUCUUUAUUGCAAUCUAAUUAUUGAUUUACUAUUUCGAGGUCUGACAACAUUUUAGGAUCUGGGCAUAAAGUCCACAAGCAUGUCAUGCUAUUGAAACCUUCAUUUAACAAAACUGAAAAGAAAAUAAGAAAAAUGACAAGAUUAAGAAAAGAGACAUUCAUGUACAAUGAAAUAUUAAUUUCGUUUGUUUUUUUUUUGUUUUUUUUGAAUCUUUAAUAUAGAAGGGUUUACAUCGGAAAGUAAGAAAAUAAAGUAAAACAUUCGUAUCAUACCCUAAAAUAAUCUGAAUGCAAAAAGUAUAGUAAGUCUGGCUACUGAGACUCCCGUCUGAUGGGGAACUUUCAAGCUUGGCGACCAUUUUUUGAAUUUUCUUCUGCCUUGGCAAUGGCUUCAAUGACCUUUAGUAUUGGAUCAAAUUCCUCAUCUUCACAAAUCAUUCCGACUAUUGGCCCAGUGUUGUGAGCAGACAACAAAUUAUUCGUCAUAUCUGGAGCCUCUUUGUCCCAAAAAACAAUUCUUUCAACUUCAAUCAAAUCUUCAAUUGCCCUUUUGAGGGUCCACCAAUAGUACUGUGUCCCACUGCUCGAGAGUGGUAUUCAUAUCUAGCAUCAACUCGAUGCGAUGGGGACUCAGGGUUCGGCCGGUUCGGGCCCACUGGCUGUAAUAGAUUUAGCCCGAUUAGCUUUUAGAACAAGCUUGAAUACGAUUCACCAAUAGGGGUGAACUGAUUCUUUUUGAAAGGCUCUCUUGGGCGAGGAUUAUACUGGGGAACAUUUGAUUGGGGAUUAUAUGGAGCUUGGUAAGGAUGGACAUUUCUAGGAGGUGGAGCUCGGUUUUGUGUAUAAUGUUGUGGCCGCGUAUAAGGUUGUGCGUUCUUCACCGCAUAGGGAGGUGGUGCCAUGGCAUAAGCAACAUUUUGAUGGGGAUAAUAGCGUUGAGGGAUCUCAAGAAGCAUAUAUGAUUGGGUGAAUAACAUGCGGGGCCCCCUCGAACUAGAAGCCAUAAUGGCUCCUUUUUCUCUCCCAUUUCCAUUUAUCAAACCCUCUGAACUAUUUUGAAAAUCUGGUGAUGUGGCCUUAAAAUGAGCAUGACUCAAGAUUCGACCCAUUUUUAGCCCACUUUCUACCAUCUCCCCAAUUUUGAUAGCCUCAGCAAACGGCUUUCCCAUAGUGGACAUCAUGUUUUGGAAGUAGUCCACCUCUUGGGCCUAUAGAAAGACUGCAACCAUUUCUGCUUCGUCCAUUGGAGGCUUUACCCUGCCAGCUUGCUCACGCCAUUUGACAACAUAUUCGUGAAAGCUUUCCGCGGUCUUCUUUUUUCAAAUUGGACAAAAAGUUCCUGUCGGGAGCGAUGUCCACAUUAUACUGGAACUGGCAGACAAAAUCUCGGGCCAUAUCAUCCCACACAUUCCAAUGGGUAAUUUCUUGAUCCAUAUACCACUCAGAAGCGAUUCCGGUGAGGCUUUCUCCAAAAUAGCCAUCAAAAGUUCUUCUUUUCCACCAGCGCCUCUCAAUUGGUUACAAUAUCGUUUCAGGUGAGCGACCGAGCCUCCAUGCCCAUCGUGCUUUUCAUAUUUUGGCAUCCUGAAGCCAGCUGGAAAGUGGACAUAGGAAAACAUAUAGAGGUCAAAGUAUGAGACACUCUUUUGGCCACUCAAACCUUGCAUGUUUUUCAAGUUUUGUUCCAAGCUCUUCAUCUUCCGAGCCAUUUCCUCUUGCUCGGGAUUUUUAACAACCUUUUCUUGCUCUACCGAGAGAUCAUAUUGCGAAGGUUAAGUGAAAGAGUUCGGGGUCACAUAUGUUAUUUCUGAUUAACGUUGUGGACCCUGAAAGGUGAAUAUCGGAGGCUCAAUAUACAGCCAUGGUAAAGUUGGUUGUGCACUGGUGCAUACUGGUGCUGCAGAGAAAAAAUAUUGGAGGUGCCCUAGAAACUGGCGUCUGGGGGCUAACCAGAGAAGGUAUGCCAGGAUUAUUGGACGGCAUUGGAGGGUGCCCGCACUGGAUGAGUGGGUUGGACACAAGGGCAUUGGUAACCUGACCUGACCUUGGGAUCAACUCAGGGAACCCAGGGAUUGCACUUGGCGGUUUCCUACCAUUAGACUAGACGGCCCACAUUUCCAAUACGCGGAGACGCAACAUCCUAUUCUCUUCAGCAGCUGUUGAUUCUGGCUGUGUAAUAGCCGGUGCUAGGCUAUCCUCAGGAUCGAUGAUUUGUAGAUGUCUUUCAGAGGCCAUAGGAACCUUUCCUUUGAAUCUAGUGAAGUAAGGAUGGGAAGCCAAAUUACCAACAAAACAAACAACCUAAACAGAACCUGGCUAUUUUGCACACCCAACAACCUUGUUAGUUUUGAGACGCUUAACAUAUAGGAAAUUGCAUAUUAGGAUGCAAUGCACCUAAACAGUUAAACGUUUCUACUAUGUGUUUAAACGAGUUACAUGUUUCAUUCCGGCCUUAACUAACCUUUUCUUCAAUCUGCACCUUUUUUCUUUAUUUUUGUUUAUCUCCAAUCACUUUUGAUUUUGGUUUUGUUUCUGUCGCUCUUUUAUUUUGGCACUCUCUUUUUAUCUUUUUUUGUUUUAUUUUUGUCACUCUUUUGUUUUAUGUCGCUCUUUUUUUUAUUGUUGUCACUCUUUUCUUUCUUUUUCACUCAAUUUUUUUCAGUUUAUUUUUCACUCAAUUUAUUUUAUGGCUAUGAUCGAAUCUGAUGGGGAUUGCCUACGUAUCAUGAAGCCGCAUGAAUUAGAUCUUGCGUAGUUCGGGAAUACCAGGAACAAGGUAAAUGAGCUAACUCUUCUUCUUUUUUCUAAUUUAUUCAACUUUUUUUAAUAUGAAAAUUAUACCAUAGAAGCUCCUACCAAGGAAAAUAUUUUGGAUUUUGGAUUUUAAUUUUUUUUAUUUUAUUUUUUGAAAGGAAGACUUCUAACAAUUCCUUUUCUUUUGAUUUGAACUUUGGGAAUUUCAAAAGUAAAAAAGAAAAUAUUUUUGUUUGAAUUUUCAUUUGUUUUCUCUUUCUCUAAAGAAAAAAAAUAUUUUUGAAUUUUGGAUGUUGCCUCUUAAUUUUCGAAAGAGGGACUUUCAAGAAAAUAUUGGGUUUCUAAGAAUGUUUUUUUGUUUCUAAAAUUUACAAAAGUAUUUCUAAAGAAAAACGAAAAUAUUUUGGACUUUAAGUUUUUAAUUUUUUUUGACAUUUACGAAAGAAAGACUUUUAAAGAAAGAAAAGAAUAUUUUUUUGUUUUUUGGAUUCUUCUUUUUUCUGAUUUUCUUUUUUGAUAUUUUGGGAAAAAUACUUCAAAAUAAAGGAAACUCAUAUUUUAGAUUUUUAUUUUUAUUUCUUUUUUUUCCGUAUGAAAGACUUCAGAAAGAAGAAAACUAUUUUUUUGCGUUUAAAAAACUUUUUUUUUUAAUUUUCUAAGGAAAUACUUCAAAAGAAGGAAUUAAAGGAAAAUAUUUGUUUUGGAUUUUUUAAAAAUUGGAGGCCGGAACCGAUGAAGUUUGCCUACGUAUCUCACAUCCGGUGAAGAUCAGACCAGUGUAGUUCGGUCAGUUUUGACGGAACAAGGAAAACAUGGCACUUGAAAAUUUUGGUUCAUUUUGAAUGACUUUUUUUUUCCCAGAGUUUCGGGAUUUUCAAAUACCUACCUCACUCUUUUUAUUUUUGAUUUUCUUUCCCUAUUCUAGAAGUUGGUCAACAUGCAAGCUGAAACAAACAGAUGCGCAAGUAGCACGUAAGAUGCAUCAGGAUGGUCUUUUAAUGUGGGUACACCUGCCCUAGAUGGGCCCAACACCUGUGUUGAGUCCCCAAAGUCAAAUGCAUGUGAUGCAAACAAGUGUUCCUACUAGGGAUCCAUCAUGAGGCUAUGUUAUUCUAGGUUUAAAACUUGGGUAUAUUAUUCUAGACCUGGCUUACCCGAGUGGACAACUUGAGCGGGGGGGGGGGGGGGGGGAGCGUACCGGAAAUACAGAAGCUUCACCGGCUUUGCAACUUGUCUAAAAUUGGGAUAUGACUCAAACAGAAAAGAAGCCACGCGAAUCGCACGUUUCCCAGAUGAUUUAGAAGACUGAGAGAGAAGAAAGGUUUCGUAAUAGUUUAUAUACAGUUCACACAAUAUCAAAGUGGUAAAAUGGCAUUUAGCACAUUAGGCUCAAACACAUAAAAGAUCAGAUAAUAAACAAAAGUCAACUAUAACAAUUAUUCUAUGCUCGAAUUCUGUACACUGAACCAAAAGUUCUAGGUUCUUUUCCCCAGCAGAGUCGCUAGAGCUGUCACACUUCCUUUUUCCGAGGGGGAUAUAAGGAAUUUUUUUAAAUUUAAAUGACAUUAAUCGAAAUGGAAUUAUUUAUUUAAUUUCAGAGUCGCCACUUGAAAUAAUUUACGGUGUCCCAAGUCACCAGUUUAUUCUAUAUCCCAAAUCGAGGAAAUUAACUCUAUUUUUGGUCCGCGAUCACAGAAGACCAGGUAAGAAAUUCUGUUAACCCGGGAGAAGGUGUUAGACACUCCCGAGUUUCGUAGCACGGUCGCUCAACUAUUAAAAAUUAGCCUAAUUACCUGAUUUAUUACAUGCUUUAAACCUAAUUGUGCAUUUUUAACUUUAUAACCGCUUUUAUUUAUUUAUGAAAUUAUUUCUAGAACAAGUCAUGAUGUCGUACACUUGUCGUUUUGGUACACGACGCAAAUCGCGCCACAUGAAAUGCACCCGCAAUUUACGAUAUGUUUAUUUUAUUAUUUUUCGAAGUUAUGGCCAGAUCACAUGAAAUGCACUCCUGAAUUGGGAUUUACAUAUCGUAACCAUGUCACGAAAACCAUACCCAUGACCAUAAUAAUUUAUUUACGCGCCUAAAACACACUACGAUGUCCAUAAUUGCUUAAUUUCCUAAAUUUAUAACUAAAUGUAAAGAGUCCAUGAGUUAUGGGAGAUUUUGAUUAAAGAGGUAGUGUGAGUUUAUUAGUUAAUAAGGAACAAACAGGUUCCAAAUAGCCUAAGGAAAAUCAAUGUAAGCCUACAUUUGGACUCCUUGUUACUUCAGUUAAUUCAAAGAGAAACCAAGCUGGCUAAACAUUUGAGUAAAAUAAAACGCUACUGUAUUUUGAUCAAAACAAGACAUUUACCGCAAAAGAUAAAUCAAAAUAAGUCAAAUAUCCCUUAUUAGAUCAUGAAUCGAAUCAUAUUUCCAUUAACAAUUUGCAGAUUUUUGAAAUAUUGUGACCUCAAACUUUAGCUCAACUACUGAAUUUUCUUGUUAAUCACGACAUAACUGAAGAACAAUGAAUCAUAUGGAAAUUAUGCAUAAUCAGUAGGUUAAUAUGAAAAUAUUUAAGUGAAAACAGUCAAACAUCAUGUGAGCACAACAGGAGAAAGCAUUUUAACAUCACAGAUUAAAUAGGAAUUUUAAACAUCCAAAUUUCUCAGUAAAUGACCUUUAUUAGUCUAAAUUUAGUCAUGGAAUCAACAAACAGUUACAUAUAGGCUUGCAAUGGACCUAAAUGCAGGAAAACAACAAACAAAAACCAAAUGCCGAUUGGAGAAUUAAAUGGUGAAGCUUAGCCAAUUCUGGAAUAGCAGCAGAGAAAAUCGGCGAGCAACAAUACUUCUAUCAAACCCAAAUAUAGAUACCCAAACCAAGAGAAAUUGAGGUCAGCUACUCUAAAUCCAACUUCCUUCUCUUUUGAUUUUUUUUGUCUGAAACUCUUUUGCUUUGGGAUUUUAAAUCUGAAAUUUAAUCGAAAAAAUUGGUCGCAUUUUUUUUUUGGAAGGAGGAGGAGGGGGAUCCAAUAGAGCUUCUGUUUGGAGAAGACGGAUGAACAGGUGCGGCUAGGUUUGGGAUUUUUUGUUGGGUGUCACGACCCUAACACCGAACCCGAUCGUGAUGGCGCCUCUCGUGGAGACAAGGCCAGCCAGUUCAACCCAACUCAACUUUUAAAACAGUUAAUCAACAUAAAAAUAGUCUAAACAUGAUUUAAACAAUACUAAAUAACGGAAAUAUCGAUAACAAUGCGGAAAGUCCAACCCGACACAGCCCUAACCGGGGUGUCACAAGUCACGAGCAUCUCUAAACCAUAAUACUAGUCUGCUAAAGUCAUAAACUACUACAAGUGUUUGAAAGGAAACAGAAAUAAUAGAGAAGUAGAGACACGGGUCUGCGGACGUCAACAGCUACCUCGUAGUUUCCGAAAAACCGCCUGGAACUGGAGGAAUCAACACUCAGGAGCGGUACCAGCUACGCCUGAAUCUGCACACAAGGUGCAGGGAGUAAAGUGAGUACUCCAAUUCAGUGAGUAACAAAUGUAAAUAACGACUGAAAGUAAGAAAACACAUAAAACACAAGACAUUCUAUACUGAAGCAGUAAAAUCACUUAAGACAGUAAAACAAUGAAGAGUCAAGUAAAUCCCUUUUUAACAAGUAAAACAAGUAAUUGACAGGUAAGUAAAAAAAAUAGAAGUUCGCCCCUCGGACAUAGUAUCAACAAAUCCGCCCCUCGGGCAACAUCUCAGAACAGUACCAGCCCCUCGGGCUCAAUCUCAGAACAAUAUCAGCCCCUCGGGCUCAAUCUCACAUCACAAUGGGUACUCACACUCACUGGGGGAGUGCACACUCCGGGAGGGGCCCCUUACGGCCCAAGAGCAAUAUCAAGCCAUCUCGUGGCAUCAAAUCUAUGCCCUCGGCCUCAUAUCAAUCAAGCCACCUCGUGGCGUAUAUAUCUCAAGCCCUCGGCCUCAUAAACAAUAUCAACAAGCCACCUCGUGGCGUACAUAUAUCAGGCCCUCGGCCUCAAAUUAGUAUCAAUGUUUCCUCACAACUAGGCCCUCGGCCUUACUCAGUCAAAAAUACUCACAAGCCCCUCGAGCAUUAGUAAAAUAGUAUUUCUCAGCCCAAAACAUCAUUUAAAAUAUCAUUUAAGUCUCAAAACAGAGUAAAAAUGGCUGAGUAGUAAAACAGUGAAAAAUAACAUGACUAAGUUCAAUUAAUAAGUCCAAACAGUGAGGAAAUAGUAAUAAAAAUCUCCGAAUGGUUCAAAUAGUUGGCACAAAACCCAAAUAUGACAAUCAGCCCAAAUCAUGAUGAUAACAUAUAAGUUUCAGUCAAAUACGCGGUAAAAUCAUUAGUCGGGACGGACCAAGUCACAAUCCUAAUAGUACACGACCUCACGCUCGUCAUCAAGCAUGUGCCUCACCUCAAUAUAGCACUACGAUGUGCAAUCCGAGGUUUCAAACCCUCAGAGCAUCAUUUACAAUCAUUACUCACCUCGAACCAGCUAAAUCUCUAACUCGCGACGCCUUUGCCUCUCGAAUCGGCCUCCACGCGCGUCGAAUCUAUCCAAAAAAUCAGAACGAAUAUGUCGCAAUAUGCUGAGGGAACAAAGCCCAAAAAACAAUCAAAUUACCACAAAAUUCCAAAAAUUGGUCAAACCCGACCCCCGGGACCACAUCUCAGAAUUUGACAAAAUUCAUAAAACUAGAAUCUUUAUACUCUCACGGGUCUAACCAUAUGAAAAUUAUCCAAUUCCGAUACCAUUUAGUCCUUCAAAUCAUCAUUUUAUAUUUUUGAAAGAUUUCACAAUUUUCUUCCCAAAUUCCAUCCCAAAUCAUGAAUUAAAUGAUGAAUUCAAUGAUAGAUUCAUGUACUCUAGCCAAAUCUGAGUUAGAAUCAGUUACCCCGAUGAAUUUCUUGAAAAACCUUUAAAAAUCGCCAAAAUCCGAGCUCUCUAGGUCAAAAUAUCAAAUAAAAUCCAAAACCUCGUAUUUAUAGAGUACCCGACAGAUUUUCACCUCCGCAGACCGCACAAAAUUGACCGCGGUCCGCGGUCCGCACAAAAACGACCGUGGCCGCACAAGCUUUCCUCUACAUUGACAUGCUUUAGUAUUUUGUCCACAACUUUCGCUACAGAUGUCCAAACUGCAACCUUUAUGGAAAUAAGACACUAAGGGCUACAACUUUUGUUUUUGAAUCAUCCCAAAAUUCCUUGUAGAUCAAAAGAUAUGAGCUUCCGAAGUAGGACCAAUGAAAUGUCCACCACCACGGCCGCACUGCAUUUUGUGCGGUCCGCACAGCACCUACCGCGGCCGCACUUCAUUUUGUACGGUCCACAUAGCACAUACCGUGGCCGCACUUCUUUUUGUGCGGAUCACGUGGGUGGGUUCCGAGGCCUGCAACCCUUCUGGACCUGCUACAGCUAUGAUUUUCGGCCUAAAACAUCCCGGAACCUACCCGGAACUCCCGGAACUGCAAACCAAUUGUACCAACACAUCCCAUGACAUCGUUCCAACUUUUUCAAAACUUCGGAACGCUCACAACAACAUCAAUCACCAAUUUAACAUAUGAUUCAAGCCUAAUAACUCUUAAAUUAUGCUUUCGAUCAAAAAGUCUAUCAAAUCUCGUCCGAAUGACCUAAAAUUUUGCACACACAUCCCAAAUGAUACAACGAAGCUACUGUCACUCUCGGAAUUCCAUUCCGACCCCUAUAUCAAAAUCUCGCCUAUCAACCAAAAAUCGCCAAAAUAUAAAUUUCACCAAUUUAAGCCUAAAUCUUCUCUACAACUCCAAAACCCAUUCCGAUCGCGCUCCUAAGUCACAAAUCACCUCUCAAAGCUAACCGAACCAUCAGAACUCACUUGCGAGCCUGCUAAUACAUAAGUCAAUAUCCGGUUGACUUUUCCAACUUGAGCUUUCUUAGAAGAGACUAAGUAUCUCAAACUUCACCAAACUCCUUCCGGACUCGAUCCGACCAACUCGAUACCACAAAAAUAUGGAUAACAAAGCAUAAAAAAGCUUAAAUGGGGGAAAUGGAGCGGUAACUCAUGAGACGACUGGUCGGGUCGUCACAUUGGGAGGAUACCUUUAAGCAUUUUUGAACUAAAACACAAGUAAAAGAGAGCAAAUAAGCGGUCAAAGUCCCUACUUAUCAACCACACCUCCCUAAAGCCCAUAAGCCAUUGAAUUCUCUCUUAAGUACCCCAAAAGUACCACAACCAAGGUACCCACUCUGAAAAAAGAAAAUAUGUAAAAAGUUAUUUCCUUCACCUUUCUAAUAGCGAUAUGUAGAAUCCAUAAGGAUAUAGAAAUACCGCGAGUCUCGACACCAUCCAAUGUAAAUCUUAGUUUCUAGCCAUAUGCAAAUCCGAAAAAUCGCCAAUUGUUACAUAUAAUUCUUGAAUCCAUGAGAACCUUCCCGAGAGUCAUCCACUCUACUUAAAUCUAAAUUGCACCGCCCAACCCUAGGCCUAUGUGGUUGAAUCCGAGAUUCAGACUAAAUCUACAUUACCUAUUCACUCCCAAACCUCGAUUAUGUGAUUUGCUUCAAAAUCCGACCUCAAUUCGAGGUUUAAAUCUUAAUUUGUACAAAAUUACUAAAUUCUACCCAAAACUCCUAUUUCUUACUUUGAAAUUUAUAGAUUUAAUGUUAAUAUUCAUGGAAAAGUAACAGAAUUUGAUUGAAGACUAGCUAAAUUUGUUUACCAAUGAAUUUGGGAAUGCGAGAUCUGUAGGCUACACCAGCAACAACCGAUGCUCAACUAUACGAAAAACACCAAAACUCACCUGCAGCUCACUCGAGCCUCUCGGGCUACAAUCCGAACAUGCACACAAGUAUAAUAACAUCACACAAACUUACUCGCUAACAUAAAUCCUCAAAAUAAUAUCAAAUAUCAAAAAUCGAUCAUCAAAACUAAAAAUUCCAACUCAAAACUCGACUUUUGCUAAUUUUCACGUAAUGCACCGAAAUGCGCUCGCGCCACCCGGGACCCUAACCAAAUGUGCGUAAAAGUCCAAAAAUAUCAUAUGAAUCAACUAGAAUCAUCAAAACAUUUAUCUGAGGUUGUUUACCAAAACAUUGUGAUCAACUUUAGCCUCAUUUCAAGUCAAAAUCACCCUUUUUUUUAAAAACAAUUCACAUAUAAACUUUCUGGAAAACUACAUGGACCACGCAUGCAAGUCAUAAAUCAUCAAAUUAAUUAGAGUACACGCAAAUGGAGAGUAUCAGAAGCAUAACAUAGGAUCCAGUACACGCAAAUGGAGAGCAUAAUUACUGCGUUCAACCUAUCAACUCAAUAUUUUCGACAUGCAAUUUAUAUGCAUAAUAUAAGAACGUAAAUAUUAAUUCCAUAAAAUUAAAAAUCCUAAGUCCAUGUUUGAUAGGAUUAUUCACUUAAUCAAAUGGAGUAAAAAGGAACGCAAAGGAUCUAUAUGCAAUAGACUUUAGUGUUAUUCCCCUUUUAAUUUAAAUAUGUUUACACACUCUCAAAUGUAUCUGACUUUUAUAACUAAAUCUUACCUGGCUCUUGUUGUAAAAUAUACAAAUUAGAAUCAAUUGGACUUGAAAACAAAGUUCAUCAAGCAUAGAAAUCUUAUUUGAAAAGAAACCAUGAAAUUUAUUAAAUUAAAGCAUACAUUAGAAUAAAUCCAUCAUGAAAUAUAUUAGUAAUGAAUCAUUUGAAUUUCCAUCUUUCAUAUUUUUCUUUUUAUGUAGAAAUUAAGCUAAGAACAUUUACAGUGGCACACAUGCUUAUUUCCCUCUAAUUUGCAAGCUCCUCCGAGCUCACAGUCACUGACACAGAACGUCCAACAUUUUCCAUCAUCUUCUGGAUUAUCAUCUACACCAGGUACACAUGAACCAAGCUCUGGGUGAUCCAUGCAAUAUUUUGCUGCAUCAACUAUAUUCUUGCAACCUACAAAAUAACAAGAAGACAUUAUAUAUGUAAAUAUACACAUAUGUAUGUGUGCACGUACAUGCAUAUCUGGAUUUGUGCUAACUAAUAUUUAAAAUUUCUUAAACAAUCUUAUUAUUUGAAGAUGUAUAUUGUGCUUGAAUUAUAUAAAAAUUCUCUCAGCCCUUUGAAUAAAGAGAAUUUAGUUCUAAAUGAAUACAAAUUCAUGCAUUCUAGUAUCACUUGAAUUGCAAAAAAAAUGAGAGCAACACAAUUAAGCACUUUUUUUUUUUGCAAACCAAAGAUCUAUUCCAUAAAAGAAUUAAAAAAAAUAAUCAAAUAACAUUAAGAUAUUAAACAAAUAAAAGACUGUAGAAAGUAUAAGGAGUGUAAAUAGAAGAACUGAAACAUUCUUGAUAGCCAUGCUUAUUGAACAGUUAAUUUUCAGAAUUGGGUAUAUCAAUCAUACUGAGAGCAUCCUAUUAAUUUAUAGUGCUAGAAAUGACCACGGGUCUUUAAAUUUUAUAUUACAAGCAUCCAUAUUAGAUUAGUAUCAUAAUUAACUAGCUUAUAGAAAAAAAAGUAGUGCUGAUUUGCUUCCAUCUUACGAAAAAAGAUAAGAUAAUGUACUAGAAUAUUUAGUGAAAUGCAAGGAAUGAUAUACUAUCUAGUAAUAUUAUUUCCAUAUUGGUCCUAACAUUUGGGGAUUAUAAUCAUAUGUUAUUUAAGAGCCUACUUGGUUAAUAUGCAAGCUUAUUAUGUGUCACGAUCCGAAUUUUCUAUCGUCGGGACCGUGAUGGCGUCUAACAUUGUACUCGUUAGGCAAGCCAAUGUUACAGAAUAUUUCACCUUUUUUCUUUAUCUUUUAUAAUUAAAACUUAACAAAACUAAAUCAACGAAAAUAAAAGUGGAAGUACACAAGUUGAAUGAUUAUAUUUAUGCUAGUAACGAAAGGCGAAAUAGAUACCACCCAGAAACUGGUGUCACAACUCACGAACAGUCUACGAAUACUACAAGUAAUGGUUUGAAAGAAAAUAUAUUUAUCUCGGAGAAAGUAAAAUAGAAAAUAAAGUAAAGAUAGGAGGGGAUGCCAGGGUCUGUGGAUGCCUGCAAGACUACCUCGGAUCUCCUAAGUGCAGUAACAGCAACCAACCUCUCAAUUAGCCACUAGUUCCGUAAUCUGCAUAGGAAAUGCAGAGUGCAGUAUCAGUACAACCAACCCCAUGUACUGUUAAGUGUCAAGCCUAACCUUGAUGAAAUAGUGACGAGGCUACGGCGGGGCAUAACAACAUAUAUAACCUACAACAGUUUAUACUAAAACAGAAAGGAAAUACAGAAUGAAAUAUAACAGAAACUUGCAUUAAAUAAAUACGGAACCCAGUCGUUCUACCAAUACUCUACUAUAACCAAUCCUUUAGGGAGUUUCAACAUCAAAGUAAUGAACCUCAAUAGAAAUGAAUACAUAAAAAACAACUGAUGUGACAUGCAUCCCGAUCCCACCUAUAAAUAAUAGCAGUAUCAAUAUUCACCCUUAUUACUCCUUGUUGCGGCGUGCAACCCGAUCCCACCAGUUCACCUUUAUUACUCCUCAAUAUAUCACCCUUAUUCCUCCUAUUGUGGCGUACAACCCGAUCCCACCUAUCCACCCUUAUUACUCCUUGUUGCAGCGUGCAACCUAAUCCUACCAGAUAAUUACAUUCACCUUUAUUCCUCUAGUUGCGGUGUGCAACUCGAUCCCAAUAUAUAUAACAACACCAAUCACAAGAUAAAAAUGAGUGUUUCACAAAUCGACUCAAAUCCUCCACAACACUUAUUCCUCAAACCAACACAGUGGAAUAUCACUACAACUAUAAAACUUCACCAGUUAGAACUACACAGCGAGACCAACCAAAGUGUACCGUGAAAUACCAAUAACCAACAUAAACCAACAGUGUCAUAUAAAGGAACUAUGGAAUAAUUAACAACACCGAUAGAGAAACAACAUUUAGCUAGACGCAUUUAGACAUGGAAUCAUCAAUAAGCAAGUAGCAAUUAAGGCAGGAAAGCAAUAUAUAGGGAAACAGGGAAAGGAAGCAGGCUAAACAAGUAAUUUGGUGAUGCAUAGGUGCUCGCCACCACACCCAAAUCACAUAGUCAUUGUUUGCUUAUAUGUGGAUGAUAUGCCGAUAAUGAGUAAUGACAUUGCCAACAAAAAUGCGACUAAGCGUAUGCUAACUAGCAAGUUUGAUAUGAAGGAUUCGGGAGNNNNNNNNNNNNNNNNNNNNNNNNNNNNNNNNNNNNNNNNNNNNNNNNNNNNNNNNNNNNNNNNNNNNNNNNNNNNNNNNNNNNNNNNNNNNNNNNNNNNNNNNNNNNNNNNNNNNNNNNNNNNNNNNNNNNNNNNNNNNNNNNNNNNNNNNNNNNNNNNNNNNNNNNNNNNNNNNNNNNNNNNNNNNNNNNNNNNNNNNNNNNNNNNNNNNNNNNNNNNNNNNNNNNNNNNNNNNNNNNNNNNNNNNNNNNNNNNNNNNNNNNNNNNNNNNNNNNNNNNNNNNNNNNNNNNNNNNNNNNNNNNNNNNNNNNNNNNNNNNNNNNNNNNNNNNNNNNNNNNNNNNNNNNNNNNNNNNNNNNNNNNNNNNNNNNNNNNNNNNNNNNNNNNNNNNNNNNNNNNNNNNNNNNNNNNNNNNNNNNNNNNNNNNNNNNNNNNNNNNNNNNNNNNNNNNNNNNNNNNNNNNNNNNNNNNNNNNNNNNNNNNNNNNNNNNNNNNNNNNNNNNNNNNNNNNNNNNNNNNNNNNNNNNNNNNNNNNNNNNNNNNNNNNNNNNNNNNNNNNNNNNNNNNNNNNNNNNNNNNNNNNNNNNNNNNNNNNNNNNNNNNNNNNNNNNNNNNNNNNNNNNNNNNNNNNNNNNNNNNNNNNNNNNNNNNNNNNNNNNNNNNNNNNNNNNNNNNNNNNNNNNNNNNNNNNNNNNNNNNNNNNNNNNNNNNNNNNNNNNNNNNNNNNNNNNNNNNNNNNNNNNNNNNNNNNNNNNNNNNNNNNNNNNNNNNNNNNNNNNNNUUAUAUUCAUGUGUUGGGAUGUUUAAUAUAUAUUAUGAAUUGUACACGACCAUAUAUAGCUUGUACUAGAAGUAAAUUGAGUUGAUACACGAGCAAUCCAGGUCAAUCUCAUUGGAUGACAAUGAAACGAAUUUUGGGAUAUUUAAAACAUACCUAGGACUUUGCUUUACACUACAGUAAAUAUCAUGCGAUGAUUGAGGGAUACUGUGAUGCAAAUUGGAUCAUUGGUUCAACUAAUUCUAAGUCCACAAGUGAAUAUGUAUUCAAUAUUGAUGGAGGAGCGGUAUAUUGGAAGUCAUCCAAACAAACUUGUAUUGCCCACUAUACAAUGGAGACUGAGUUCAUAGCCUUAGAUAAAUCCGGUGAAAAAGCUGAAUGGCUCCGGAAUUUCUUGGAAGACAUUCCAUUUUGGCCCAAACCAUUGGCACCAAUAUGCAUAUAUUGUGAUAGUCAAGCGGCAAUUGGAAGGGCUGAGAGCGUUAUGUACAAUGGUAAAUCUCGUCAUAUACGAUGAAGACAUAAAAUCGUUAGGCAAUUACUCUCUCGAGGAAUUAUCACGAUUGACUAUGUAAAGUCAAGUGAUAAUAUGUCGGAUCCACUUACAUAAGGCCUAACUAGAGAGGUAGUUGAGAAAUCAUCGAAGAGAAUGAGACUAUGUCCGAGAAAAAGUCAUUGUGGCGGUAACUCUACCUAGAAGACCGGAGAUCCCAACCAUCAGGUCAGGGUUAAGGAGAAAGAUAUUCUGAAGACAACAUUCAGGACCAGAUACGGGCACUUUGAGUUUCAUGUUAUGUCAUUCGGUUUGACCAAUUCCAUAGCAGUAUUCAUGGAUUUGAUGAACCAUGUGUUCAGGCCCUUUUUAGAUCUAUUCGUAAUUGUAUUUAUCGACGAUAUAUUGGUGUAUUCUCGUUUAGAGGCUGAGCAUGCAGAUCAUUUGCGUAUUGUGCUAAAAAUUCUAAAAAAGGGAAGUUGUAUGCAAAAUUCUCCAAAUGUGAAUUCAGGUUGAAUUCUGUAGCUUUACUUGGGCAUAUCAUUUCGGGUGAAGGUAUCUGGGUUGAUGCACAAAAGACUGAGGCAAUAAAGACUUGGCCUAGACCCACGUCACAGACGGAGGUUCGUAGCUUUCUAGGUCUAUCAAGUUAUUAUAGGAUAUUUUUAGAGGGAUUUUCUUCCCUUUCAGCACCUUUGACAAAGUUGACUCAGAAGGGAGCAAAGUUUCGAUGGAUUAAUGCUUGGGAACGGAGUUUCCAUGCAUUGAAGGACAGAUUAACUUCAGCACCAGUUCUAAAGCUCCUAGAAGGGACCGAUGGUUAUGUUAUCUAUUGUGACACUUUAGGCGUUGGAUUGGGUUGUGUGUUGAUGCAGCAUGGUAAGGUUGUAGCUUAUGCUUCUAGAAAACUAAUAAAGCACGAGAAGAAUUACCCAACUCACAAUUUGAGUUAGCCGCAGUGAUUCAUGAACUAAAGAUGUGGAGGCACUACUUGUAUGGCAUUCAUGUUGAUAUCUAUAUGGAUCAUAAGAGCCUCCAGUAUAUCUUCAAGCAAAAGGAAUUAAAUUUACGUCAAAGAAGAUGGUUGGAGCUACUUAAAGAUUACGACGUUGAUAUUUUAUACCAUCCGGGGAAGGCGAACAUGGUAGCGGACGCCCUCAGCCGUAGAUCUAUGGGUAGCCUAUCAUAUUUACAGCCAUAGAAGAGGGGAAUAGCUCAUGAGGUUCAUCAGCUAGCUAGUUUUGGAGUUCAGUUACUGGACUCAAGUGAUAUUGGAAUUACUAUUCAGGAUACGGUAACAUCCUCGUUAGUAACUGAAGUGAAGGAACGCCAGUACGAGGAUCCUACGUUAGUUCAUCAUAAGGAUACCACCCCUCAAAAGGAGAAGACACCGUUUGAGAUUUCAGAAGAUGGAGUCCUCAGAUAUAAAAGACAAUUAUGUGUCCCUAAUGUUGUAGGGCUGCGUCAGCAGGUUAUGGGAGAAACUCCUAUUCUCGUUAUUCUAUCCAUCCAGGAGCAACAACGAUGUACCAUGAUAUCUGGGAGAUAAAUUGGUGGGACGGAAUGAAAAACGAUAUAGCAGAGUUUAUUUCUCAGUGCCCUAACUGUCAGCAGGUUAAGAUUGAACCUCAAAAGCCUGGCGGAUUAUUUCAGGCUAUGGAGAUUCCGACUUGGAAAUGGGAAGUAAUUAACACAUAUGGUAUUUCAUAUAGCAAGCAAGUCGGGGAUCCCUAAUCUCUCAAGUCAAGGUUAGACCAAACACUUACCUCAAGCCAACGGGUAUUUCAAAGCUCAACCACCGCUUUACCUCUCGAUUCUGCCAUCAAUUCACUCGUAUCUAGACAUAAUUAACUUAAUAACAUCAAUAAAGGUAAAGAAACCACUUCUAUUGCAUAAUUACAGAUUUCCCAACAUUUUCCCCAAAAAGUCAAAAAUCGACCCCGGGACCGCUUGGUAAAAACUCGAAAUUCGGACCAAAACUCGAUUACCCAUUCACCCCCGAGCCCGAAUAUAUAAUUGGUUUUGGAAUACGACCUUAAUUUGAGGUCUAAAUCCCCAAAUUUUGAAAUUCCUAAAUUCUACCCAAAACGCCCAAUUUCCUGUGAAAAACCCUAGAUUUUUUAUGAAAUCUUGUAAAAAGAUGAAAUAGAUUGAAAGAAAUGAGUUAGAAAUCGUUCAUAUGAUUUGGGGAAGAACUACUCUUUAGAAAAUCGCCCC